UUGCAGAAACAAGAACAUUAGCUUUAAAAAUCUGGUUUUUAAGCACAAUUUUGAUCAAGCUAUUUUCAGAAAUUGGAUAUUGCAAUACUCAAUCCACCUUAAAAUCAGCAAAUUUCAAUUUCGAGAACAUUUACAUUGCUAUUCACAAUUAUCUUACAGAAUGGCUAAAUAACAUACUGCUCCUUCAAUGACCAGAUGUGCUUCUUUUUACUUUGCAUGCAUUUCGUUUCAUAACCUUUUCUUACAACAAGUGACAUUAUCAAUUGAUACUGAAAGCAAAAUGUUGUUGCCAAAUCCCUCACUUUCUUCAUCUGAUAGAUGUACUUUUGUCAUUAGUAAACCAGCACUCAGGCUUUGUGGCAUCCACUAGUCAUCAAUUGCAUACCAAGUUCACCAAUUGUGCACUCUUAUAAUCAGAAAGUUUAAUUCGUAUGAGCUUAAUUCAUAUGAGCAAGAAAGAAAGGAGUUACCACAUUCAAGUUAAGAUCCACUUUCGACAUGUAUGAUUCCAAUGCUGCAGAAUGUCUCUUAAAAUAAUCUUUUUCCAAGUGACUGAGUUUUUCUUGAAUUUCUUCGGGCAGCUCAAAGAGCCUAAGCCCAACUGUCCAUGCCAAAUUCUGUAUCAUUUCUGCUCGGUUGUACCUACAUGACCAUAAACCACGAACUAGAGUUACUGCCACAAUGAAAAACCUCAAAUUAAACAUAAAAGCUAAUUAUAAGAAUGUUGCUUACAGAAAUAACAUAGCAUUAGAGAAUACUUACACGUAUGCCAUCAGGCAGCGUUUGUUGCGAAUUAGAGAAAGGUGGUUGAUAAGUGCUCCAUAGUGAUCUGCAUUUCUUGUUGUUUGAAAAUCCAAUCCUUCUUCCUGCAUUUUCCUAACACAAGCAUAAAUCUACAAAGUAAGUUAAAAAUAAAGGUAUGCAAUUACUCGUCGUAUCAAAAGAAACACCAAGGAUUCAUACCAAAUGAUUACCUUAUCAAGGACUGAAGCGCGAGGAAAUUUUCACUGCAUUCUUUAAUUACUUCAUUUAAAAGCUCAUCCUGCAAAAUCACAUAACAAAGACCAAAUUUCAAGGUUAGCAGAAAUAAACCUAAAAUACUCAUCAAACAGUUGAUAACCACAGCACAAUGUAACAAUAAUACAAAAGUGGAGAACUUGAAAACAUUCAGAAAAGCUAGUUGUACAAUGAAUCAAUAAACAUAAAAUCACCCACUUCAUAAUGCAUGCAUUAAAUCAACAGCUUGAGCAUGCCCUUUUCACACGACACGCAAAAACAGAAAUCAAGAAACAAAGAACACAACUGAAUUGAAAUUACAUUAAAAUGCGUGAGCUGGCCUUUUUCACCACUUGCAAGUCCCUUUACCAGUCGGCUUCCCAAUCUUCCGUGCAUUUCUUUUCCUUUCGAGAUCCUGAAUUCAUUCAAGCAUUUCAUCAAACAUCGUACAUGCGCAAAAACAGACGUACAUGGCACAUCAGCACUAGGGAUGGCAAAACAUCGGGUCGGGCUCGGGCUUGGCCAAACCCGACCCGAUCAAUAAAAAAUUAAAGCCCGACCCUAAAAAAGCCCUACCUAUUUAUAGUUAGGGUCGGGUCGGGCUCGACCCGAAUCGGGCCAACAUCGGGUCGGGCUACCGAAACCAUUUUCCAAAUGCAGCUGCAACUUGCAUUUCCAGAUUUCCAGAUUGCUUAAGCUGCUCGUGUGCUGUCCAAGACAGCAUUUCAAGACGAAAGCCAUGCUCAUGCCUCCUAGUUUCCUAUAUUUAAACAAAGAAUUUGAAUCCCAACAAAUUCUUCUUUACAUACAAUUUUUAAAUGACAAAAUUUUACAUCAAUCUUCUUUACAUACAACUUUUAAAUGACAAAAUUUUACAUCAGAAUCAACCGCAUCAGAAUCAUCCUAUGACAAUUUUUUUUUAUUAUUUACAUAUCACAAAUUAAAUUUACCAAUGCUUCAGAAAGAAAUGCGGUAAUGCCGGGGCAGAACUGUUCGUUGGCCGUUGGCUGGCAGACGGACGCGGCAAAGGGCGACAAAGGGCGGUUGGCUGGUUCACGCGACAGCGAGACACGACAGCAAGACACACGGCGACGAGACGUUGCUGAUUGGCUGGCGACCUGGCGUGCGGCGGACGGUGACGAUGCUCUCUGAUUCGGCGGCGGGUUGGGUGGCUGGCUCCUGGCUUAGGGUUUUUGAGAAUUUGGGAUUUACGGUUUAGAGAGCUGUGAUGUGUGCGUGUGUGAUGUUGUUUGUGAUGUGUGCGUGUGUGAAUUGUGAUGCUGUGAAUGUGAUGUGUGCGUGUGUGAUGCUGUGAAUGUGAUGACUGAUGUGUGCAGUGUGCCGCGUGCGUGUGUUAGAUUGUUAGCAACUUAGCUUUUUUUUUUUGUUUUUUAAUUAGGGUCAGGUCAGGUCGGGUUGGCUUUAAGCCCGACCCUAACUCUAAAUUUAUUCGGACCUUAAAAUCUUAGCCCGAAUCCGACCCGAAACCCGAAACUUCGGGCCAAAACCCUUAAUAUUAGAGUCGGGUCAUUCGGGCUAAAAAUAGGGCCGGGCUAAAUUGCCAAGCCUAAUCAGCACAGAGAUCAAUAGAUGCAUCAAAGAUAAUAUUUAAUAAAAUACCCGUUAUGGCUGUUUGUUUGGCGAGAUCGAAAUAGUGAGAAAAUGGAUCAAAAUGGUCGAAUUCAUUCUUAGGCAUGUGAUCUAACUUCUGGUCAUCGCUUUUGGCGGGGAAGUUUUUGAAGCUUUUCAAAUUUGGCGCUCAAAUUUUUUUGGGUGACGGUGCCGUUUAAGUAACAGUGUUUGUGUUUGUGUUAUUUUAUUUGAUUUUAGUUGUAGUAUAUCCUGUCAACAAGAUAAAAGCGCGUUUAAAAUUAUUAGUCUUUGAACUUCAAAAAAUUAAAAUAUUGGUCUUUUGUUUUACACUGAUAUUUAUUGUAGAAAUCAUUUUUUACUGAAUUAUUUCCUCAUAAUUGGAUGACUGGUACUAGUUAAUCAUUUUUAUAAAAAAAUAUAAGCAAAGUUUCAAGUGAGGACUCAAUUAAAUUCCCCUUCUUGGGAAAUAAAAAAUAAAAAAAAGGAGUCAAUUAAAAUCUUGAUCUCAUAAUUACAUCAAGUUGGUGGUGUAACAUGAAGGUCAAGUUGAUUGGUUGUCAACAUUAUUAAGGCCCAUCAUUAUAAAGCAUUUCUUUUUUUUUUUUUAAUUAUUUGGUCAAUCAUGAUAAGCAAUGUUGAAUUAGUGCCACAAAAGUUGUUCAAUGAUAAUGUUGAUGAUGCUUUGCUAUGAUGGACGGUGACAAUGAUAACUAUCAAUUAACCGGUCCCGUUUUGAUUUGAUUGUGCUUUAGACUUUGCAUGAAAAUCUCAUUUAACCAAAAUUCUUUAGUUCCAAUCGCGCUCGUUUUUCCAAAUUUCAAACCCCAAUUCAAGACUUCUCCUGUUGGUAGGGUGACCAAAUAUAUCAUUCAAAUCUAAAAAAUUUUCAAGGUCAUGUUCCCACCGUUACAAAAUUGUCAUGGGAGCAGUUACCGUGUUUGGAAAAAACAAUGCACUUUAAUUUUAUGAAAAACGUUUUACAUUAUUUUCUAAGAUAAAAAAUAGUUGUAGUGUUUUAGAAACUUCCUUUAUAAUUAAUACUAGAUGGCACAAGUGUUACAUCUUUAGUCCCUAUAGCAAAAUUAUGAAAAAUACAACUCACGUAUUUUUUUUUCUUAAAUUAUUAUGAUAAGACCAUUAAUAUGUUAUUUUCUCAAUUAUAUUACAUUUAUUUUCACAUGUAAUUAAAUAAACUAAUGUAAAAAUAAAUAACAAAACGAUAAGACAAAUUGACAUGAAUUGCAACCCUAACCCCAUUACAAAACUUGAGAGUCAAAAUUUGUGGACAUGAACCGCAGGCAGGAUGGACCCAAAAUUGUUGGGUCCAAGUCAUCACCCAUUUUAAAGAGUAGAACUAGAAAUCCUACUUCAAAAUAGUAGAAAAAUCAAAUAUACAACGUGCGGUGCUCAUCAUCAUCAUCGUGAUUUGACCUUUUUUGCAUAAAUUUGUUGACCUAAUCCUCCAACUCACCAUCAGUUGGACUCAUUCCAAAGUAGUAUUUUAGAAUAUGCCUGAGCGAACCAUUUUUUACACUGUAGGAUACUCAGUUAGUGGUUCAUCAAGUUCGACAUAUCCCUCUUCCGCUGGUAAAAUGAGAUGUAGUCUUUGAAAGUUAAUAGCUAUCACGCCUGCAAAACAGUGAAAUAGAGGUUAAAGGUGAAGCCGGGGUACCCCGGCGUUCACACUCCGAUGCUCAAGUUAGCAAACUCAAGCUUUUAUGGCAAAGAGAGCUAGCUAGCCCUCUGUAAAUUAGGGUUUUAAGGUUGAAGAAAACCUCUUUUUUGGAGUGUGAGUGUCUUAGGGCAAAUGAGAGCCUGACGGAGAAUGAAACCUAGGCGCCUUUAUAUAUGGAGUACCUUAGCUGCCACGUGGCGUACCCUUUUUUGUUAACGUCCUUUUACCGAUUUUAUGAUUCUUGGGGCCGUUAUGUGCAUGUUCGUGGCGUAUCUCAUCUUUUGGAAACGUGGCGCGCGCUGGAGAGUGGUCCGGGGUACCUCUGCAGUAGCUGUCGGGUAGGCGGCUGGGGAUCACUGUCCUUGGGACAGUGUCCUUCACUUUUGGCAGAGGUAGCAGGCGGCUGUCCCCCCCUUUUAAUACGAUGUUCUUGAUUCCUAAUUAUGACAAAAUCAAAUAAUAUCUUUUAGGAGGCGAAGACGUUUCUCAUGGCGGAUAUUCUCGGUGGAUUCUCUUGAGUCGGACCUGCCGGGUACCUCGAGUUACGUGGGAUACCCCGAUCUAUGUGGGGUACCCCUAAUUGUGCGGGAUACCUCUAUUUGUGUGGGGUACCUCUAUUUGUGUGGGGUACCUCUAAUUGUGCAGGGUACCUCUAUUUACGCCGGGUACCUCUAAUUGCGCAGGGUACCUCUAAUCAUGCGGGGUACCUCUAAUCACGCCGGGUACCUCUAAUCAUGCGGGUACCUCUAAUCAGGCCGGGUACCUCUAAUCACGCGGGGUACCUCUAAUUACGCCGGGUAACUCUAAUCAGGCCAGGUACCUCUAAUCACGCCGGGUACCUCUAAUUAUGCGGGUUACCUCUAAUCAGGCUGGGUAUCUUGAAUUAUGCUGGAGUUAUUCCGGGUACCUCGAAUUAUACGGGGUACCCCAGUCUAUGCGGGGUACCUCGAGUUACUCUGGAGUUAUGCGGGGUACUUCUGACCGUGCCGGGUACUUCAAAUCAUGGCAGGUACCUCUAAUCGUGUGGGGUACCCUAAUCAUGUCGGGUACUUCGGAUUGCACUGAAAUUAUUCCAUUCGUCGACACGUGGCGUUCUACUAUCUUUCUUAUUUUUCCCCCAAACAACCUGCAUACUCUAUGGCAUCUAUGCAUUGGUUAUGGUUGUGCAGAGGUAGUAAAAUGAGUCAUGACACGAUUAUAUAACAUGAUUUUAAUGUAUUUGUGUUGAUAAAUAUUGAAAAUUAUCUCAAUUAAAAAAUGAAUCUCACUUUUUCGUCAAAUUUUCUGCUAGAUAUAAAACUACAAACGCCAUUGAUAUUUGCUCAUGUAUGAUGUCUUCUCAUACGACAGUCAAAUUAUCUGCACUAUGAUACUUGUCUCACAAACAAUGAUACAAAAGUAACGAAGAUAAUAUUGAUUUGAGGACUGAAAUGAAAGAAGAGAGUAAAAAAGGCGCACGCGCACGCAAAUGUAUAAUGAAGGGACAUGUCAAUCUCCCAUCAUUUUGCUUGCUGCAAAAUAUCUUUGAUUAACAGCUUGAUGUUAAGGUAAGAAGACCCCCCUUCUUCUAUUGCUGUCUUUGCCGUCUCCCCAUACUCUCUAGCUCUUCUUCUCCUCUCAUCUCUUUCUUCCCCUUCAUCCAUGAGCAUGUUAAUAGCCUUUUUGACAUCUUCCUUCUUCACCGGCACCCCAUUCCUCUCUUCAUCGGCUAAACUUGGUGGACGUUCUGCCCCAAUCGUCACACCAAUCCUCAACACUUGCACAACCAACUUCUCAUUGCAAAACUGAUCUGCGAAAAAUGGCCAGGUGACCAUCGGCAAGCCAUUUGAAACCGCUUCUAGCACUGAAUUCCAGCCGCAAUGUGUUAAGAACCCUCCAAUUGCAGGGUGUGACAAUAUCACCACUUGAGGAGCCCAACCCCGGAUCAAAAGUCCUCUCCCUUCAAUCCUUUCCUCAAACUUUUCUGCCAAAAGCCAAUCCUCUAACCCUUUUGCUUGAUCUCCGGGUCUUAUAACCCAGAUGAAUGGCUUCUUUGUUGCUUCUAAGCCUAAACCAAGCUCUAUCAGCUGUGUGGUUGAAGAAUCACAAAGACUUCCAAGACAAACAUAGACUGCAGAGCCUGGUUGCCAUGAAUCAAGCCACUUUAAGCAACCAGAGCCAUCAUUGGAAGUCUUGUCACCUCUCUCAAGUUUAUCAAUGUCUUCCUUGUUGCACAAUGAAACAGGACCAACACACCAAACUUUUCCAUCUCUUGCAUUCUUGUAUUCUUCAACAUAAGCAGGCUCCAUCUCUUCAAAUGAAUUCACAAUGACCCCAUAGGAUGCCAUUUCAGCUGCCAAAAUUGGCUCACCAAAACUUUUCAGUUUCAGGAUUUCGGGUAGCUGAGCUUUAGUUAUUUCAACUCGAUCAGGCAAUCCAGGCACCAAAAAAUAUUCUGAAUCAGAGGAAACACUCUCAUGAGCCUUGGAAACACUCAAGCUGUGCAAACACAAAAGACAAAAGCAAGAAAAACCAUGGAAAACAAUCCUUGGAACAUUGAACUUGCAGGCAGAAGAAACUGUCCAAGGCAAACACACGUCGGAGAUUAAGCAGCUUGGCUUAGGUUGUAUCUCCUUGAACAAAGUUUCCAACGGCAAACGCAGCAUUUCAAUUGCAGCGAAGAACUUAGGGAGCAAGGCCAUCGAAGGAAGCUUGUCCCAACUCUCACAACCUUCAGGCAAUCCUACUUCUUGACAUGGAAAAUAAAACUCAAUGACUUGGAUACGUAACCCAGAUUGUAUCCCACGUUCUAUAACGUUUUGAAACCGGGCUGCAUUCAUUGGUGUGGUGACAAUGGUUACAAGGGCGCCAUGCUGUGCCAACAAUCUUGCAAUGUCUAUCAUGGGAAUCAUAUGGCCCUGAGCAAGAAAAGGAAAUAAGAUGAAGUGAAGUUGGCUACCAGCUUGGGAUGCCAUGGCAGAGUUUCUCUUCCCAAUGGGACUUUGCUCCUGCCUGUUGGUGAUGUUUAUAGAAUCAAUAAUGCCAGUUUUGGGAACUUAGAAUAAUGCAUUAUUAAAGAUGACUUAAGUGUGAGUGAUAAGGGUGGGGUGGUCCUGGUGGAGAUCGUCAUGACUUAAGUGUGAGUGAUAAGGGUGGGGGGGUCCUGGUGGAGAUCGUCUUCACAUUGCUUCAGGAAAAUACUGUAUCUUUUUCUUCUCAUGGCAGAGUUUUCUUUGUUUUCAACUCAAAAUUAGAAACAGACAGCUGCUAACGUAACCCCCACCACUUGAAGUGACAUUUGUCGAUUUCCAUUUAUAAAUUGAAACAAAUGUCCAUUUUCUAUGGUACUUCAUUGGUUAGUGGGAUUAAACGCCUUCCAGUCAUUUUGAGACGUAUUUCGCUGGAAGUGAAAGACCUCAUUCUUUUCUUUGCUGGACAGGUUGUUGUUUUUUGUUUGACGUCAAUCGUUUGGUUUAUUCGAGAGGCGAUAUUUUAAUUUUGAGAUGAAUGGGUCGUCUUCUUAUUUAAGUUUACGUUAGAGCUGUGUCGAGAACGGGGCUAUCACAGGUGGCAUCACGAGUCUAAAGACAUUUGUAACACCACAAACUUAACACGUGUAAGAAACGUGUCAAAUGGAAAGGCGACUAACUCAUUCACAAACUUUGGCACCAAACUCGUGCUCUGUAAUGAAAUUUCUCUUGAAAAUUCAAUUCAUUCUUGGGGUCUUAAAAUCAACAAACUACUAAAAAAAAAUCCCUUGGAACGAAAUAAUCGAAGUCUUGAAACCAGAAAUUACAACUCAAAACCAAAAUAUAUUUACAUAAAAUUGGUAAUAUUCUACAUUGUAUUUUUCGUUCAUUCAUAUCACAGUCCAGAAUCAAAUUAUUUCGUGCAGCUAAAAUGGAUUUUCCGAAGGAAUAUAGAAAAAAAUUUUGAGCAGCAGGCAAAAGAAUGAAAUUUUGAGAGGGGUCAACAAUGAUGGCAUUCUGAAAAGUGAUUAUCAAGCUCUGAAAAUUAAAGAAGAGAACUAUAUCAAAGAUGAUCAACAUAAUCCAUCAUAUUUAAUAAAACUAGGAAAUUGAACUUGUGGAAUCCGAAUUAACAAUUAAAAUCAGAAACAAAUCACAGCAUCUAAAUGAAUUAAGGUUGUCUUUAGUACUAAAGUUGGAGAAGCUACAGCAUUAAUAUUCGAUAAAUAUUAGCUGUUAUUGCUUAAAAACUAAAUUGAUUUUUUAUCUCUCUUAUCUUGCGUAUGGACAUCACAUUUUUCAUUGCUCACCUUAUUUUGCUCGCUGCAUAAUAUCUUGGAUUAACAGUUUGAUGUUAAGGGAAGAAGAUCCCCCUUCUUCAAUUGCUCUCUUUGCCAUCUCCCCAUACUCUUUAGCCCUUCUUCUUCUCUCAUCUCCUUCUCCUCCUUCAUCCAUGAGCAUGUUAACAGCCUUUUCCACAGCUUCCUUCUUCACUUCAUCCGCUAAGUGUAGAGGGCGUUCCGCCCCAAUGCUCACACCAAUCCUCAACACUUGCACAACCAACUUCUCAUUGCAAAACUGAUCUGCGAAAAAUGGCCAGGUGACCAUCGGCAGGCCAUUUGAAACCGCUUCUAGCACUGAAUUCCAGCCGCAAUGUGUUAAGAACCCACCAACCGUAGGGUGUGACAAUAUCACCACUUGAGGAGCCCAACCCCGGAUCAAAAGUCCUCUCCCUUCAAUCCUUUCCUCAAACUUUUCUUCCGAAAGCCAUUCCUCUAGCUCUUUUGUUUUAUCUCCGGCUCUUACAACCCAGAUGAACGGCUUCUUUGUUGCUUCUAAAGCCUAAACCAAGCUCUAUCAGUUGUCUGGUUGAACAAUUACAAAGACUUCCAAGACAAACAUAGACUACAGAGCUCGGUUCCCAAGAAUCAAGCCAUUUUAAGCAAACAGAGCAAUCAAUUGAAGCCUUGUUGCCUCUCUCAACUUUAUCAAUAUCUUCCUUGUUGAAAAAUGAAACAGGACCGACACACCAAACCUUUCCACCUCUUGCUUUCUUGUAUUCUUCAACAUAAGCAGGCUCUAACUCUUCAAAUGAAUUCACAAUAACCCCGUAAGAUGCCAUUUCAGCUGCCAAAACUGGCGCACCAAAACUUUUCUUCUUCAGGAUUUCUGGUAGCUGAUCUUUAGUUAUUUCAACUUGAUCAGGCAAACCAGGCACUUAAAAGUAUUCGGAGUCAGAGGAAACACUCUCAUGAACCUUGGAAACACUCAAGCUGUGUAAACACGACAGACAAAAGCCAGAAAAGCCGUGGAAAACAAUCCUUGGAACGUUGAACUUACUGGCAGAAGAAACCGUCCAAGGAACAACAUGUCAGAGAUUAAGCAGCUUGGCUUAGGUUGUAUCUCCCUGAACAAAUUUUCCAAUGGCAGUUGCAGCAUUUCGACUGCAGAGAAGAACUUGGGGACCAAAGUGAUCGAUGGAAGCAUGUCCCAAUUCUCGCAACCUUCAGGCAAUCCAACUUCUUGACAUGGAAAACGAAACUCAAUGACCUGGAUAGGUAGCCCGGAUUGUAUCCCUCGUUCGAUAACAUUUUGAAACCGGGCUGCGUUCUUUGGUGUAGUGACAAUGGUAACAAAGGCGCCUUGCUUUGCCAACAACCUUGCAAUGUCUAUCAUGGGAAUGAUAUGGCCCUGAAUAAGGAAAGGAAACAAGACGAAGUGAAGCUGGCUACUAGCUUGGGAAGCCAUGGCAGAGUUUCUCUUUCGAAUGGGACUUUGCUGCUGGUGAUGUUUUUAGAAUCAAUAAUGCAUUUGCUAGAGAUGGUUUUUGACAGAUAGGCAAGGCAAUAAGGGAUGCCGUUGAGAUUUUUGCACUGUAUUCAAAGAAGGGACCUCAUGCCCGUAAGGUACCACCACCAUAUGAAGUGUCAUGUCACUCGUGUCGUUUCCCGAAUUAAAGAUUCUGAAAAACGUGGGCUCAUUGAUUGAAACCCUUUUCCAUUUUCGAUAUUCUCCAUUGGAAAGUUUCUGCAACUUAUUUAAUUGUAUUACAAUCUUUAUGAGACAAAACCAGGAGGUGAAGGUUGUUGAGCAUGUCUCCCAGACCAUAAUAAAUAUUUAUCAUGAAAUUGCCCGUCAAAGCAUUACUGGGUCUAUUAUUUGCAUUCAUCAUAUUCUUGAUGGAAGUUUAAACUCAUAUUCAAAGCAUUACUGGGUCUAUUAUUUGCAUUCAUCAUAUUCUUGAUGGAAGUUUAAACUCAUAUUUCACCCAUUUGGUUAAUGGAAUGUAAUCAGAUUUAUGCAACACCAUUGACCUUGUCAGCAUAACGUCUUUCUUAUGUUAGUAAGAUGCAAAUCAGCCCCAGCUCAAGACAAAUUCACAACACUAUGAAGCAUAUAAAAAACUUGCGCCUUCGUUACAACAUAGAACUUUCCAUUAUUUUCCCGAUGUAGAUGAGGAAGUUGACCAACUUCCUCAUUCUUAAGUCUCAUCUGCGAUUAAAUAGAACUAAUAAUUUACAUACAGUGGAUAAGCAACAAAGUCGGAUCCACAAAAAACUUCAACAAACAUGUGCAAUUGCAGAGGGCCAAGUUUAGGUCAGCCUGUAAGUUCCUCCAUCAAGCCCUGUUGAGCAAGGAAAACCUUGAGGCAUGAAUAGUGUUACAAGGAAUGGAAAUGUUUUAACGCCAGCAUCUGAAGACACAAUUUUAGAAACAAGUUAGAGAGGCACUCACUCUUGAGAUGUAUGGCUCCGCAUCAGUUCUUUUGAGAAAGUGCAUCGAGUGGCGGGCAAAAUUGGCUGCCUUGUCACUCACAACUAUUCCUUCACCGAGAUCAUCAAGGACCCUCACCUUGAUGUAGGGGUCUUUUGGUGGCACCAUAUCCUUUGCAGAAACAAGAACAUUAGCUUUAAAAAUCUGGUUUAUUAGCACAAUUUUGAUCAAGCUAUAUUCAGAAAUUGGAUAUUGCAAUACUCAAUCCACCUUAAAAUCAGCAAAUUUCAAUUUCGAGAACAUUUACAUCGCUAUUCACAAUUAUCUUACAGAAUGGCUAAAUAACAUACUGCUCCUUCAAUGACCAGAUGUGCUUCUUUUUACUUUGCAUGCAUUUCGUUUCAUAACCUUUUCUUACAACAAGUGACAUUAUCAAUUGAUACUGAAAGCAAAAUGUUGUUGCCAAACCCCUCACUUUCUUCAUCUGAUAGAUGUACUUUUGUCAUUAGUAAACCAACACUCAGGCUUUCUGAACCAUUUUCAUGACUUUUCUGUGGCAUCCACUAGUCAUCAAUUACAUACCAAGUUCACCAAUUGUGCACUCUUAUAAUCAGAAAGUU
This 11546-nucleotide long non-coding RNA is filed under the name Citrus x clementina. RNAcentral's name for it is "Citrus clementina (C. clementina) long non-coding RNA (CCLE_LNC001413)". Lineage: Eukaryota; Viridiplantae; Streptophyta; Magnoliopsida; Sapindales; Rutaceae. The record is from RNAcentral.